AAUAUUGGACAAUUGUGGCAACCCUGAUCCACCCAUGCCGCGUGUGUGAAGAAGGUCUUCGGAUUGUAAAGCACUUUAAGUUGGGAGGAAGGGCUUUAGUUCAAUACCCUUAAGUUCUUAUGUUACCAACAGAAUAAGCACCGCCUAACUCUGUGCCAGCAGCCGCGGUAAUACAGAGGGUGCAAGCGUUAAUCGGAAUUACUGGGCGUAAAGCGCGCGUAGGUGGUUCAGUAAGAUGGGUGUGAAAUCCCAGGGCUUAACCUAGGAACUGCUUUCAUAACUGCUGAGCUAGAGUACGGGAGAGGGUAGUGGAAUUUCCUGUGUAGCGGUGAAAUGCGUAGAUAUAGGAAGGAACACCAGUGGCGAAGGCGACUACCUGGACUGAUACUGACACUGAGGUGCGAAAGCGUGGGGAGCAAAC
RNAcentral lists this ribosomal RNA (421 nucleotides) under uncultured bacterium. RNAcentral's name for it is "partial 16S ribosomal RNA". It matches the Rfam family "Bacterial small subunit ribosomal RNA", at positions 360 to 773 of the family's 1533-position model. The record is from RNAcentral.